GACCCCUUUGAAGUCCAAACCACGGGCAACAACAUCAGUGGCAAUCAAGACCCACAUAUUGCCAGCUCUGAAGUCAUCAACGGCAUUCUCACGCAGCUUUUGGGCCAAAUCAGAAUGUACAACACCAACUCUGAUACUGUCAAAUUUCAAUUCUUCAUAUAGUUCAUUUGCACGUGUCUUGUUUUGAACAAAAAUCAACACUGGUGGAUUCAGACUCUCUGCAAAGCUUUGACGAAGUGCAAGGAGUUUUCCUUCUUCACUUCCAGCAAAAACCAAUUUUUGCUUGAUGGUAUCAGAAGCAGUAUUCUUCCUGCCAACAAUUACUCGAACAGCAUCAUGCAUUAUUGUGCGCGCAAGCUCUUCAACAAAAUCAGGUAAAGUAGCACUAAACAGUGAGCGUAUUACUGAAGUGUUUGAGCAUGCUUUGGCCACAGAAUCAAUCUGCUUUAACAUGCCAAGCUCAAAUAACUUAUCAGAUUCAUCCAAAACAAGAUACUCAACCCUGCUUAAGUCAACCUUUUUCUUGCGUAUAGCUAAUUGUAAUCGAAGUGGUGUUGAUAUAAGAAUAUCACACAGCAGCUUCGAAAAAUCACCAUUUCUCACAAGUUCUUUUGUCAUUAGCUUAAUACGAAAUUUAUUCCCUUUAGCCAUUCUUUUGCACUCUCUGGUGGUUUGAGCAGCUAAUUCCCGUGUAGGACACAAGAUAACAGCUCUGAUCCCAUCCUUUGAUGCAUGCUUAAGUUUAAUAAGCAUGGGACAAACAAAAGCCAAGGUUUUCCCAGAUCCAGUUGGAGCACAAGCAAAGCAUUCUCGGCC
This 816-nucleotide unclassified non-coding RNA is filed under the name Hevea brasiliensis (rubber tree). Lineage: Eukaryota; Viridiplantae; Streptophyta; Magnoliopsida; Malpighiales; Euphorbiaceae. The record is from RNAcentral.